Molecule: non-coding RNA, 864 nt
Organism: Carassius auratus (goldfish)
Lineage: Eukaryota; Metazoa; Chordata; Actinopteri; Cypriniformes; Cyprinidae
Source: the annotation of a RefSeq genome assembly
CACAACCAGCAAACACAAUGAAUCUCUUCAGCAGCUUCAUCUGGAUUCUGACAGCUUUUCUUCCAGCAGCAUCCAGAGGAAUCACUGUGACUCAGCCUGAAGUUCUGACUGUUUCUGAAGGACGAGACGUCACUAUAGAGUGUAAAACUGAUGCUGGAAUAGAUGGAUGGGGCUUAUUCUGGUAUCAGCAGAAGACUGGAGAAACUCCUAAACUCAUGAUUACUGGAGUAAACGAUCGCUAUGGUAACAGUUUCAGUCGAUUCAGUGGGAAUGGAAGAUCUGGUGGAACAGAUUUCACUCUGAGCCUCAGUGGAGUCCAGACUGAAGAUGCUGGACAUUAUUACUGUCAGAGUGUUCACGUCAUCAGUGGUAGUGGUGUGUUCACACAGUGAUUGUGAGUGGUAUAAAAACCUGUGUCAGUCAGAGUCACAGUGACUGAACUGAUGCUGCAGCUGAUCAAACACUAUCACUCUCUCUACAGAGAAGAAACACAAUGUUGAGCUCCAUCAUUCUUUUUUAAGAUUAUUAAAUGUAUUUUGAUAAAAAAAUUUGAUCUUUUAUGGUUUAUCUCUACUAAUUUCCACUCACUAAUUUUUCAAUCCAUGACGUAUUUUUAUGAUGCAUAAUUUCUUUCUUCUUUCUAAUUAUAUAAAAAAUAAUCAGCAGGACAUAAAGAUGUUGCUGCUGAAUAGUUUAUCAUCUUCCAUCUGAUCUCUCCCUAAACAGUUAAUUCAUAAGUUGUGUCUUAUAAAACUAUCUCUCAAACUCUAAAACUGUCUCAUCAGUGCAUGAGCAGAAGUGAAACUGUUUCAGUUCAGAGCGUUGAACCGAGAACAGAGAAACUGUGAGUUUGAAGUUUGAACU